RNAcentral lists this ribosomal RNA (561 nucleotides) under uncultured Erythrobacter sp. RNAcentral's name for it is "bacterial SSU rRNA". It matches the Rfam family "Bacterial small subunit ribosomal RNA", at positions 338 to 916 of the family's 1533-position model. The record is from RNAcentral. Lineage: Bacteria; Pseudomonadati; Pseudomonadota; Alphaproteobacteria; Sphingomonadales; Erythrobacteraceae.
CCUACGGGAGGCAGCAGUGGGGAAUAUUGGACAAUGGGCGAAAGCCUGAUCCAGCAAUGCCGCGUGAGUGAUGAAGGCCUUAGGGUUGUAAAGCUCUUUUACCAGGGAUGAUAAUGACAGUACCUGGAGAAUAAGCUCCGGCUAACUCCGUGCCAGCAGCCGCGGUAAUACGGAGGGAGCUAGCGUUGUUCGGAAUUACUGGGCGUAAAGCGCGCGUAGGCGGCUUUUUAAGUCAGGGGUGAAAUCCCGGAGCUCAACUCCGGAACUGCCCUUGAAACUGGGAAGCUAGAAUAUUGGAGAGGUAAGUGGAAUUCCGAGUGUAGAGGUGAAAUUCGUAGAUAUUCGGAAGAACACCAGUGGCGAAGGCGACUUACUGGACAAUUAUUGACGCUGAGGUGCGAAAGCGUGGGGAGCAGACAGGAUUAGAUACCCUGGUAGUCCACGCCGUAAACGAUGAUAACUAGCUGUCCGGGCUCAUAGAGCUUGGGUGGCGCAGCUAACGCAUUAAGUUAUCCGCCUGGGGAGUACGGUCGCAAGAUUAAAACUCAAAGGAAUUGACGG